Tupaia belangeri (northern tree shrew) is the source of this 131-nucleotide small nucleolar RNA. Lineage: Eukaryota; Metazoa; Chordata; Mammalia; Scandentia; Tupaiidae. The record is from Ensembl.
UUCCAAAGUGUUGAGUUCAGUUCAGGGUGGCUUCCCUGCUCUGUUAAUUAAACUUUGGAACAUUGACACUGGCUAGGGAAAAUGAUUGGGUAGAAAAUACUAUUCUAUUCAUGUAUCCCCAGCCUACAAAA